RNAcentral lists this ribosomal RNA (301 nucleotides) under uncultured bacterium. Its description in RNAcentral is "partial 16S ribosomal RNA". It matches the Rfam family "Bacterial small subunit ribosomal RNA", at positions 509 to 807 of the family's 1533-position model. The record is from RNAcentral.
CAGUCGCCACGGGAAUACGGAGGGUGCAAGCGUUAUCCGGAUUUAUUGGGUUUAAAGGGUCCGUAGGCGGACUUAUAAGUCAGUGGUGAAAGCCUGUCGCUUAACGAUAGAACUGCCAUUGAUACUGUAAGUCUUGAGUAUAUUUGAGGUAGCUGGAAUAAGUAGUGUAGCGGUGAAAUGCAUAGAUAUUACUUAGAACACCAAUUGCGAAGGCAGGUUACCAAGAUAUAACUGACGCUGAGGGACGAAAGCGUGGGUAGCGAACAGGAUUAGAUACCCCGGUAGUCCCUGUCUCUUAUAC